CGUGGGUAACCUGCCUUAUAGUGGGGGAUAGCCUUUCGAAAGGAAGAUUAAUACCGCAUAAGAUUGUAGUAUCGCAUGAUAUAGCAAUUAAAGGAGCAAUUCGCUAUAAGAUGGACCCGCGUCGCAUUAGCUAGUUGGUGAGGUAAUGGCUCACCAAGGCGACGAUGCGUAGCCGACCUGAGAGGGUGAUCGGCCACAUUGGGACUGAGACACGGUCCAGACUCCUACGGGAGGCAGCAUG
Molecule: ribosomal RNA, 241 nt
Filed under: uncultured bacterium
Lineage: Bacteria
Description: partial 16S ribosomal RNA
Rfam family: Bacterial small subunit ribosomal RNA
Source: RNAcentral